UCAGUCGGCCGGGCGGCCGCUCCGCAGUCUUGCGGGGAGGAAAGUCCGGGCUCCACGGAAACACGGUGCCGGGUAACACCCGGCGGGGGCGACCCCAGGGACAGUGCCACAGAGAGAAGACCGCCGGCAGUUUCGUCUGCCGGCAAGGGUGAAAGGGUGGGGUA
Molecule: RNase P RNA, 164 nt
Filed under: Hyphomicrobiaceae bacterium
Lineage: Bacteria; Pseudomonadati; Pseudomonadota; Alphaproteobacteria; Hyphomicrobiales; Hyphomicrobiaceae
Description: partial RNase P RNA component class A
Rfam family: Bacterial RNase P class A
About the family: Ribonuclease P (RNase P) is a ubiquitous endoribonuclease, found in archaea, bacteria and eukarya as well as chloroplasts and mitochondria. Its best characterised activity is the generation of mature 5'-ends of tRNAs by cleaving the 5'-leader elements of precursor-tRNAs.
Source: RNAcentral